UAGCCAAGUGGAUCAAGGCAGUGGAUUGUGA
RNAcentral lists this transfer RNA (31 nucleotides) under Cirsium arizonicum var. bipinnatum. RNAcentral's name for it is "partial tRNA-His". Lineage: Eukaryota; Viridiplantae; Streptophyta; Magnoliopsida; Asterales; Asteraceae. RNAcentral also lists the same sequence under 6 other names. The record is from RNAcentral.